RNAcentral lists this ribosomal RNA (301 nucleotides) under uncultured bacterium. RNAcentral describes it as "partial 16S ribosomal RNA". It matches the Rfam family "Bacterial small subunit ribosomal RNA", at positions 509 to 807 of the family's 1533-position model. The record is from RNAcentral.
CAGUAGCCGCGGUAACACGUAGGGUGCGAGCGUUAAUCGGAAUUACUGGGCGUAAAGCGUGCGCAGGCGGUUAUAUAAGUCAGAUGUGAAAUCCCCGGGCUCAACCUGGGAACUGCAUUUGAGACUGUAUGGCUAGAGUGUGUCAGAGGGGGGUAGAAUUCCACGUGUAGCAGUGAAAUGCGUAGAUAUGUGGAGGAAUACCGAUGGCGAAGGCAGCCCCCUGGGAUAACACUGACGCUCAUGCACGAAAGCGUGGGGAGCAAACAGGAUUAGAUACCCGAGUAGUCCCUGUCUCUUAUAC